CGUCUAGCCUGGUUUAGGACGCAGCCCUCAUAAGGCAUUUGUCGGUGGUUCAAAUCCAUCCGUCGCCA
Molecule: transfer RNA, 68 nt
Filed under: Candidatus Dadabacteria bacterium
Lineage: Bacteria; Pseudomonadati; Thermodesulfobacteriota; Candidatus Dadabacteria
Also listed under: 1 other name
Description: tRNA-Met
Rfam family: tRNA
About the family: Transfer RNA (tRNA) molecules are approximately 80 nucleotides in length.
Source: RNAcentral